RNAcentral lists this ribosomal RNA (487 nucleotides) under uncultured bacterium. RNAcentral's name for it is "partial 16S ribosomal RNA". It matches the Rfam family "Bacterial small subunit ribosomal RNA", at positions 28 to 507 of the family's 1533-position model. The record is from RNAcentral.
GAUGAACGCUAGCGAUAGGCUUAACACAUGCAAGUCGAGGGGCAGCACAAGGUAGCUUGCUAUCUGGGUGGCGACCGGCGCACGGGUGCGUAACGCGUAUGCAACUUGCCCUAUACAGGAGGAUAACCCGUCGAAAGACGGACUAAUACUGCGUAUGCUCACAACUUGGCAUCAAGUGGUGAGGAAAGAAAUUCGGUAUAGGAUAGGCAUGCGUCCCAUUAGCUUGUUGGUGAGGUAACGGCUCACCAAGGCAACGAUGGGUAGGGGAACUGAGAGGUUUAUCCCCCACACUGGUACUGAGACACGGACCAGACUCCUACGGGAGGCAGCAGUGAGGAAUAUUGAUCAAUGGGCGCGAGCCUGAACCAGCCAAGUCGCGUGAAGGAUGACUGUCUUAUGGAUUGUAAACUUCUUUUAUACGGGAAUAACAAGAGUCACGUGUGACUCCCUGCAUGUACCGUAUGAAUAAGCAUCGGCUAACUCCGUG